This is a non-coding RNA of Solanum lycopersicum (tomato), 401 nucleotides long. Lineage: Eukaryota; Viridiplantae; Streptophyta; Magnoliopsida; Solanales; Solanaceae. The record is from RefSeq and is a predicted model, not a curated record.
UAUCAAUAUUGUAAUCUUUAAGAAAAUUGUAUAAAGGGGUAAAUAAAUAAGCAUAUUAUUUGAUUAAAUAAAAUCUCAAUCUUGUAGAUUUUAAAAACCAUGAUUCACAAAACAUUCUCUUUUUUAUUCAUAGCCAUUUUUUUCUUAAUUUUUUGUUUAUCCUCAACAACAUCCUGUACAAGAUUAUUACAAGCACGUAGGGCUAUUAUGGCUGAUGAUGAUAAUGGUGAUUAUAAUCAGGAUAAUAAUAAUAAUGAUGAUGAUUAUAAUGAUGCUAGCUCACCAGCAAUUCCACCAGAGUAUGUUGGAAUUCCAAUGCGACCUCAUUCCUCUAAACCAGAUCAUUCGGCAACUGAUCAACACCCACCACCUGCUGUUAUACACCCACCCCCUGGUAAAAU